This 134-nucleotide small nucleolar RNA is filed under the name Oryctolagus cuniculus (rabbit). Its description in RNAcentral is "small nucleolar RNA, H/ACA box 63 (SNORA63)". It matches the Rfam family "Small nucleolar RNA SNORA63". From Rfam's summary of the family: E3 belongs to the H/ACA class of snoRNAs and is involved in the processing of eukaryotic pre-rRNA and has regions of complementarity to 18S rRNA. The record is from RNAcentral. Lineage: Eukaryota; Metazoa; Chordata; Mammalia; Lagomorpha; Leporidae.
GAAGCAGGAUUCAGACUACAAUAUAGCUGUUUAGUGCUGUGUUGUCGUUCCCCCUGCUCAAAGUAAGGUUGUUUCUUACUAUACCUGUCUGCUCUAUCCCUGUAGCAGCCAGGGACGCUUGGUCUCAUACAAGC